GACAGCGUGGCCUAGUGGAAAGAGCAUGGGACUGAGAGUCAGCAGACCUGGGUUUGAGACCCAGCUCUGUCA
This 72-nucleotide transfer RNA is filed under the name Ornithorhynchus anatinus (platypus). It matches the Rfam family "tRNA". Rfam says of the family: Transfer RNA (tRNA) molecules are approximately 80 nucleotides in length. Their secondary structure includes four short double-helical elements and three loops (D, anti-codon, and T loops). Lineage: Eukaryota; Metazoa; Chordata; Mammalia; Monotremata; Ornithorhynchidae. The record is from Rfam by way of RNAcentral.